Non-coding RNA from Phyllostomus hastatus (greater spear-nosed bat), 496 nucleotides. NCBI's taxonomy places the organism in Eukaryota, Metazoa, Chordata, Mammalia, Chiroptera, Phyllostomidae. The record is from the annotation of a RefSeq genome assembly.
GGCAGGGGGUCCCCACAGCUAAGUCUCUUGUCUCAUUUGUCGUCCUGCAAGUGCCUGUAGCUUUCAGGGGCCCCUUCCCACUAUGGGCAGCCAGGUGCUCUGUUGCAUGGUCCUUUGUCUCCUGGGAGCAGGCACAUUGGGUGGUAGAAUCACACAGACCCCAAAAUACCUGUCCAGAGAGGAAGGACGAGAUGCGACCCUACACUGUGAACAGGACUUAGGCCAUAACGCCAUGUACUGGUACCGACAGGAGCCCGGGCAGGGGCUGAGGCUGAUCUACUUCUCCAGAGGUGAAACCAGUGUUGAGGAGGGAGACCUGGCUGAAGGCUACCAGGCCUCUCGAGAUAAGACGGCAUUCUUCCCUCUCACCAUGCCAUCCGCCCGGAAGGACCAGACAGCUGUGUACCUCUGUGCCAGCAGCUUAGACACAGUGGGGCACAGCCACCUCCUCCCACCACCCACAGCAGCUGCAGCCAUCACCUUGCUUGUGGAAUGA